RNAcentral lists this ribosomal RNA (492 nucleotides) under uncultured bacterium. RNAcentral's name for it is "partial 16S ribosomal RNA". It matches the Rfam family "Bacterial small subunit ribosomal RNA", at positions 29 to 507 of the family's 1533-position model. The record is from RNAcentral.
AGUGAACGCUGGCGGUAGGCCUAACACAUGCAAGUCGAACGGCAGCACAGUAAGAGCUUGCUCUUACGGGUGGCGAGUGGCGGACGGGUGAGGAAUACAUCGGAAUCUACUUUUUCGUGGGGGAUAACGUAGGGAAACUUACGCUAAUACCGCAUACGACCUACGGGUGAAAGCAGGGGAUCUUCGGACCUUGCGCGAUUGAAUGAGCCGGUGUCGGAUUCGCUAGUUGGCGGGGUAAAGGCUCACCAAGGCGACGAUGCGUAGCUGGUCUGAGAGGAUGAUCGGCCCAACUGGAACUGAGACACGGUCCAGACUCCGACGGGAGGAAGCAGUGGGGAAUCUGCCGCAAUGGGCGAAAGCCUGAAGGGGCAACGCCGCGUGAGUGAUGAAGGUCUUCGCAUCCUAAAACUCUGUUAUGAGGGAAGAACAAAUGUGUAAGUAACUAUGCACGUCUUGACGGUACCUAAUCAGAAAGCAACGGCUAACUACGUG